This 120-nucleotide ribosomal RNA is filed under the name Petromyzon marinus (sea lamprey). Lineage: Eukaryota; Metazoa; Chordata; Hyperoartia; Petromyzontiformes; Petromyzontidae. The record is from RNAcentral.
GUCUUUGUCCAGGUCACGUGGAUUGUGCCCAGUCACAUCAGAUCUUGCAAGCUAUGUGGGCUUAAUCCUGAAUUGUACUUGGAUGGGUGACCACCUUGCACAAGCAGGUUGUUAUAGGCU